CGUGGUUCGGAUGGGCCGGACGUAGCGGCGGACUCAUCAUCCGUCGGCCGUGGGUUCGAGUCCCACCCGCCCCACCA
This 77-nucleotide transfer RNA is filed under the name Streptomyces sp. RNAcentral's name for it is "tRNA-Ile". The stretch from base 13 to 74 matches the Rfam family "tRNA". Rfam says of the family: Transfer RNA (tRNA) molecules are approximately 80 nucleotides in length. Their secondary structure includes four short double-helical elements and three loops (D, anti-codon, and T loops). Lineage: Bacteria; Bacillati; Actinomycetota; Actinomycetes; Kitasatosporales; Streptomycetaceae. The record is from RNAcentral.